Molecule: ribosomal RNA, 292 nt
Filed under: uncultured eukaryote
Lineage: Eukaryota
Description: partial 18S ribosomal RNA
Rfam family: Eukaryotic small subunit ribosomal RNA
Source: RNAcentral
GGUUGAUCCUGCCAGUAGUCAUAUGCUUGUCUUAAAGACUAAGCCAUGCAUGUCUAAGUAUAAAUAUUAUACAGUGAAACUGCGAAUGGCUCAUUAAAACAGUUAUAGUUUAUUCGAUAAUUUCUCCUACAUGGAUAACCGUAGUAAUUCUAGAGCUAAUACAUGCUGUCAAACCUGACUUCUUGGAAGGGUUGUAUUUAUUAGAUAUCUCAUUUGCAGCUGGCUGAUUGGUAUGGUUGAUGAGUAAGCAUUAUUACUAGUUGUUAUUUAAAUUAUUUUUUAAUAUUAGGUU